GACGAACGCUGGCGGCGUGCCUAACACAUGCAAGUGGAGCGACGAACCAGGGCUUGCCCUGGGGCAAAGCCGCGAACGGGUGAGUAACACGUGGGUAACCUGCCCCGAUGACCGGGACAACCCGAGGAAACUCGGGCUAAUACCGGAUGGGCUCUUCACACAUCAGUGGGUCGAGUAAAGGAAGCUACGGCCUCCGCUUCGGGAGGGGGCAGCGGCCCAUUAGGUAGUUGGGGAGGUAACGGCUCACCAAGGCAACGUUGGGUAGCUGGUCUGGAAGGACGAUCAGGCACACUGGGACUGAGACACGGCCCAGACUCCUACGGGAGGCAGCAGUGGGGAAUCUUGCGCAAUGCGCGAAAGCGUGACGCAGCAACGCCGCGUGGGGGAAGAAGGCCUUCGGGUUGUAAACCCCUUUCAGGAGGGACGAAGGUAGGGCGGUGAACAGCCGUCCCUACUGACGGUACCUCCAGAAGAAGCCCCGGCUAACCACGUGCCAGCAGCCGCCGUAA
This 509-nucleotide ribosomal RNA is filed under the name uncultured bacterium. Its description in RNAcentral is "partial 16S ribosomal RNA". It matches the Rfam family "Bacterial small subunit ribosomal RNA", at positions 28 to 523 of the family's 1533-position model. The record is from RNAcentral.